RNAcentral lists this non-coding RNA (194 nucleotides) under Ovis aries (sheep). RNAcentral describes it as "Eukaryotic large subunit ribosomal RNA". It matches the Rfam family "Eukaryotic large subunit ribosomal RNA", at positions 967 to 1152 of the family's 3401-position model. Lineage: Eukaryota; Metazoa; Chordata; Mammalia; Artiodactyla; Bovidae. The record is from Rfam by way of RNAcentral.
UCUCCCUCAGGAUAGCUGGUGCUCUCGCAUGAACCAUGCAGUUUAUCCAAUUAAGCAAAUGAUUAGAGAUCUUGGGGCCCAAACAAUCUCAACCUAUUCUAAAACUUUAAAUGGGUAAGAAGCCCGGCUCACUGGCAUGGAGUUGGGCAUGGAAUGCAAGCGCCUAGUGGACCACUUUUGGUCUUGGAGGACUC